AUCCGCUCACACACACACAAUCUCCGAGAGACUCACACAAUUCAAGACUACUGGAAAGCCGAAAGUCUGGAAAAAAAAACAUUACGUCCUGUAUAACAAAGCAGCAGCAGAUGGGGAGCGGCAGAUUUCCAGACAAGCAAGAUUCUCCUACGGGCCAAAAGCGAUAGACUCGUCACUCUCCGAUCACUCCCGACCGGGAAUAGAAGACCCUUGGGGAACAAUAUCAGGAGAUGAACAGCAACGGUGCGAAUAUAGUCUAAGUGUCCAUGAGUUGCAUUCGAAAGCAGAAUCCAGGAUAACCGCGAAUUCCCUUCUGGUCCUCUGCCAGACUUUCUUUCUCAAGAAUGCUUACAUCCUUAACAAGGAUCUCUCUAUCUCCGCAAGCAAAUUCCUCUGCUAACUGUUGACCAGCA
This is a long non-coding RNA of Hypanus sabinus (Atlantic stingray), 413 nucleotides long. RefSeq lists it as uncharacterized. The record is from RefSeq and is a predicted model, not a curated record. Lineage: Eukaryota; Metazoa; Chordata; Chondrichthyes; Myliobatiformes; Dasyatidae. The transcript is spliced from 3 exons.